This 467-nucleotide ribosomal RNA is filed under the name uncultured bacterium. Its description in RNAcentral is "partial 16S ribosomal RNA". It matches the Rfam family "Bacterial small subunit ribosomal RNA", at positions 29 to 507 of the family's 1533-position model. The record is from RNAcentral.
ACGCACGCUGGCGGCGUGCUUAACACAUGCAAGUCGAACGGAAAGGCCCUGCUUUUGUGGGGUGCUCGAGUGGCGAACGGGUGAGUAACACGUGAGUAACCUGCCCUUGACUUUGGGAUAACUUCAGGAAACUGGGGCUAAUACCGGAUAGGAGCUCCUGCUGCAUGGUGGGGGUUGGAAAGUUUCGGCGGUUGGGGAUGGACUCGCGGCUUAUCAGCUUGUUGGUGGGGUAGUGGCUUACCAAGGCUUUGACGGGUAGCCGGCCUGAGAGGGUGACCGGCCACAUUGGGACUGAGAUACGGCCCAGACUCCUACGGAAGGCAGCAGUGGGGAAUAUUGCACAAUGGGCGGAAGCCUGAUGCAGCAACGCCGCGUGCGGGAUGACGGCCUUCGGGUUGUAAACCGCUUUCGCCUGUGACGAAGCGUGAGUGACGGUAAUGGGUAAAGAAGCACCGGCUAACUACGUG